CUUUUUAUGAGUAGUAAUUUAUUUUAUAAACUUGAUUCCUGAUGCGUCUAUAGGAAAUAUUAACAAGGAAAAAAAUAUUCUAAAGAAACUGCAAAUAGAAACCUCCUCUUCCAUACCCCCCUGAAAUCUAGUUUAUGUCCAUAGGUGAAUUGCUGCUGUGAAGCCACUGCAAUUUGACUUUGUACAAAAAGGGUCAUUGAACAGAAGGUCAGGCAGCUGGCCAUUUCCAUUUCAAAGAUGCUAUCAAAAGGGCAAGAGGCAGUUCAUCCAGCAGCCCUUUAGCAAACAAGAUUUUCUCCUUUCUCAUUUAUGAUAUUUUUUAUGCUAAAAUAGUUUAUAGGCUACUGGGAGAAGGUCCUUGAUUCAUUUUCUUCGGAAGGAAAGUGGACUAAGUGGAGCUUGGAAAGGACUUUGGUUCAAGAAAUCAGAGGAGCUUUUGAGUAAUGAGGAGCCAUUUGGUGUCCACUUAUCAAGAGCCUGGCAGUAAGGCAAUAAAUCAUUACGGGGACUCUGCGCUUCGGCUGAAGACAAUUGGAAAAGCGUAAGCUACUUUGCCGCCCCAGGGACCGGCUCAGCCGCAGCUCUCGGAUGGGUUUGGUAGCCGAGUCGGGGAACCUGUGACCCUGGGUACUGCUGCAGACACUCAAGUAAAUUCAGAGGGGCCUCAGAGACCGCAGUAGCUGGAGAAGCUACUCUGAUAACACUUCGCCUGUGCCGAUCAAAACCUCAUCGUGCUCCGUCCUGGUUCUCUCGUCAUCCGUUCUCCAAACGACACCUGUUUCGCUCUCCCAUGCCGAGUACCCAAACGGCUCUUCCCACAGGGGAACGAACGAAACCCUGUGAGGUGGCUUCAGGCACAGCAGAGUGACUCGGUGGGCACCCGAAGAGGGAAGGAGAAGGAAAUUAGUUAAAAUGGAUUUAAUUCUGGGUCUUUCCACCAGGCCUGCUUUUGAGGAUCCGUAAUCUAGCUCCUUGUGUUCACGCAAAUUCUGUGAGCCUUGAAACAGCUGAAUUUGAAACAUUUUUAAUAUCGUAUCAAAUAUUUCACACGGUGCUAAUGACAGAUGUAAUAUCACAGUUAAAAUAAAUAAUUGGCACUUUUAGAAGCA
RNAcentral lists this long non-coding RNA (1109 nucleotides) under Struthio camelus australis. RNAcentral describes it as "lncRNA (ENSSCUG00000014354.1)". The record is from RNAcentral. Lineage: Eukaryota; Metazoa; Chordata; Aves; Struthioniformes; Struthionidae.